Molecule: long non-coding RNA, 4550 nt
Organism: Spinacia oleracea (spinach)
Lineage: Eukaryota; Viridiplantae; Streptophyta; Magnoliopsida; Caryophyllales; Amaranthaceae
Exons: 9
Source: RefSeq, a predicted model, not a curated record
AAAAAACCAAAUUCUUUUCCUCAAGUUUCAUUAAGCACAACCUAACCUAAGUUUCUCGCUGCUCCCCCUUUGCCCGUGUUCUCGUUGUCCCCUUCACACAAACAUUUUCUCAUCUCCAGCAGUUCAGCAACUUCGCCUCCUCAUGCUUGAAUUUCCGAGGAUCUAGAAGGUGUAUUCAAAACACCUGCGCAAACAGGGCAUUUUGCAAGACUAGAUAUUAAGCGAGGGAUUGAGAAAGAAACUGAAGCUAAAGAUGAUUAUGAGCGUUAAUUGAAGAAUGAGAAAGAACGGGAGAAGCUUUUUGUCGGGUUCAGGUUAUUCCUGGUACGGACUCGGAGAUGAUUGAGUACUUUCUUGAUACUGAGGCUCAGGAGACUGAGUAUGAGAUUGCUAGAUCUUUACUGGUGCAUUUUGGCAAGGCUUCUAUGAACCUCCAGCUGAUGGUUUUCAUUUUGAAGUUAAUGAUGAUUCUCCAAUCGUCCAAGAUGACCCUACCUUGUUCGACUACAACGUUCAAGAUCGAGUGAAUUCCUUUGUCGCUGCUGCAAUAUGUCAGGCAAAUGUUACUCGAUUUAAUUAUAUAAUGUGGACCAUGGGAACAUAUUUCAAGUACCAGUAUGCUCAUACAUGGUUCCGGAAGAUGGAUAAGCUGAUUCUUGAUUUAAUUGCGUUCUCCUCUUUGAAUUGUUUGGUUAUUACUGUGUUAUUAUUCCAACUUGUUAUCCUUCUCUGGCCACACAGAGAUCCCCAUGUGAGUGAUGAUGUAUAUAACUUCAUAUCUUACAUGGGAAGGGUCAAGACCCCAUCCUCAAUUAGAUCUUGUAUUGCAUUCUUUAGGUGCAAACACUGUUGGAUAAUAUGGCCUUUUCCCUGAUGAUACUCACAAUAUGAUUUAGGGUCCCAAUACUUUCCUUUAACGCGAGGGUCCUAGGUGUGACCUAUUGGACACAAUAUUCCUUGAGUUGUAAGUUUAGCAAGCAUUUUUAUGUACAACUCGCCUACCGGAGUGAAUUUUUUGUCUCUAAUCCAUCUUUUAACCCUUUUUGGUUGACAAGAAAAUUCAUUAACUGUCUUCGGUUUUUCGAAGAGGGAAAUCUGUCUCAUUAAAAAGGUUAGUUCAUUUAUCCUUUGACGGUCAACUGUCUCAGGAGUAGGGUGCUCCGAAGUGUUAUAACCUAUUCGGCGGAUUAGGCAAUUGAGAUGAUCACUUGGACCGUGCUCAAAAUGAUGAAUUUUCUUAUGUGUUUCUUCUAAGGCGAUGACGUGAGAAGUAAUAUCUUCAAGAGUAAUCUUUAUUAGAUGGAUUUUCUCUUGGAUGGAACUCAUGUUCGGACUACAAAAGAGAGCGGAUUUGAUGAAGUCUUUCCUGACUGAUUGGAAUUUGUGUUGCCGAGCGACCGUUCCUUGAAUUAUGCUCAAGUUGGUUAGGAUAUUUUUAGAAAAGAAUUGAUUAAUUGUUUUUGAAAAGUAAAACUGGUUUUGAAAGUCGGAUGUGAUCACCUAGUUCUUGAUUAAUGUUGACAUAUUAACACUACCAGAAAGUUCAGAUGAUAAGGAAUGCUUGAUCAAUCUGAGUGGCAAAUUGAGUACUUGGAGGUUUGGGUUGCCAGUUUAAAGGUAGUUUUCUUUUGUUCUUGACUGAGUAUUAGACUGAAUAAAUAGGUUGCUCUAAAUCUGGACGAUUAGAGAUUGGGUCAUCAUGAUCAUCUCUAGAUUCAAUCUAAAUAACUAAUUGGGAAAGGACCAAACUUGUAUUUUAGGUUGUAAUUCUGUGUCUAUUAGUCAAGUGAGAGUUAUAGUGCUCUCAUAGUCUAUACUUUUAAGAUCUAGGUGAUUUGAACGGAAUGUAAUAAUCGCUUAUAAAUUAAGGGUGUUAAUUUAUCAAUUUCGAGGUACGGACUGACUUAAUAAUCCUUUUAGAUGGUGAAUGUCAUCUAUAACAAGCGUACUAAUUAUUUGGAGUAUGUUAGCAUGCUAUUUAGGACGCUCAGACUCAAAGGUUGGACAUGGGUUUGACUCAAAACACAAAAAACGGAUUUUGACAAAAGUUGUUGGUUUGCAACAGCUAUAACUUCCAAUCUGUUAACUUUUUUGGGCUGAAACGACCCAGGGUGAUGGACUAAGGUACGGAUUGAUAGAUUAUGGGCUAUAUAGGUUACACUUUAAGUUACGGGAUGAGGAUUAAGCGAACUAUUCUAGGUGUAAGUGGACUUUAGGGGAAGGACUCUAAAUGUGUGAAGACUCCAUAAAAGGUAAUUCUAGGUGAACGAUGACUCUAACGGUAGACUUUAACUUGGUUUAGACUUUAGGAAACAAUUACAGUGAAGACUCUAGGUGGACUUAAACUAGGUGAACUUAGGCUUUGAUGGAUAUGAUGGACUCAAGGAAAGACUCACAUAAAUGGUGACAGACUCGCCUAGGGUUUUUUACUCGACUUGACUCGUCAUUUGCCUCGAAUAUUAUUAAGCGAUUAUAACGAGAAAUUUGGUAUAAAUCCAUUUUUUUAACUAAUUUUUGAAAACAAACUGUUUUUCUUUUUCAGAUAUCUUUGCUUUUAGUGAACGUCAAGGAUUAUUUUAGUAUGAACGGUAUUAUGCCGGACAUUAGUGUUUUUAGAGGACUAAUAACUACUUUACGAAUCGUUUUUUUUUUAAGUCAAGAGCACGUAAAAGUUGUCGAGGAUUGAACCAGUGGGCGCCAGAAAUUUCCAGUGUUAGGAUAAGCAGCGCUUGAAAUUUUCGGCGCACACUUAUGGUGCGCUAGUUAUAUCCAGCGCUUGCAAGCUUUACUCAUGAUUCAUUUGUGCAGUCGGCCUUUUUAGUCAAGUUUACCGUAGCUCGAAUUUCACUAAUAUGAGCCCUUCGUUUGAGCGUUGGUGCGCUCAAACGUUCAGCAUUCCGACGCGAACGGAUAUAAUUCGCCUGUACUGGCCUUUGAGUUUGAUUGGUAAAAGCUAAUUCAGAUUAGUAUUAAUUUUUUACUUGAUUAUGCUCAAUUCCGUGAGAAUACCUUCGGCGCAAUUUUGAAUAUGCGUUUCGUAAUGGGUAUUUUCAGCCAAACCUACGUAAUGCUUAAGGCAAAUGCGUAUUUCGGUCUUUUGAAUUAAUUGCACAAAGGUUCGACUCUUAACUUUUAAACUCUAAUUUACAAGCUUGAAUGCGAGGAAUAAGCAGGGUGUGCGCUGAAAUAAAAUAGCGCACCUUAGCAAAGCGCCAGUUUUCUCCAUCGCUUGCUUGGUCAGUGUAGUUUUGUUUCUGGAACUAGCCAUAUUGGUUUAUUUAAUUCCUCGGUGCAGGCGUUAAAAUUUUCUGGGGAUUCUUAGAUGCGCGCUGGAAAAUUGUAGCGCUGCCUAGGAUAGCGCUGGUUUAUUCUGGCGCUUUGACCUUGGCUGCGAAACUUUAUUCUGAUUCGUAGCUUUAUUUAUUUACUUCGAUAUUUUGAAGCAUUUUUUGAAUUUUGACAACUUUGUUGACCUUAAACUAAGUGUCUGGUUGAUUAUUUACACUUAGCACAUAAAAUAUCUACACGAAACUAACAGCGAGCAUGAAUUCAGGUAUAAUGCGCAUUUAGUUUAUGCUAGUCUCUAAGGUAUAAAAGGCUUGGGUGUCAAAGCGUACCAAACCUAUCGCCAAUUCCCUAACAGGCCCUUGCCAAAGUAGCCAGGUUCAUGACGAAUUUUAUCAAGGUCUAUCUGGUACGUGCUGGAAUGGAAUAUACCGUGAAUGGACCUAGGAGAUAAGCGGUUUGAUUUUGGUGGAUGUGCUACAUUGUGAACGUGCCGAGUGGACAACAUCCGAAGCGCGUGCACCCCCGGGCUGAUAGGUGUCCUUAUUCGGAGCUUCCGAGAUAAAACAUGCUAAGGAAGCCGAGAUUAGAAUCAAUUUCAUAUUGAACCUUCCCAAGCUAAAAAGGACGUUUUUGAAUCUGGUCUACAUAUGAGAUUUGUAAAUUUCAAAUCCAAGUUGGUGACUGGUUGGAUUUCUAAGACGAGAGCGAGAACUAAAGUAGAGAAAGGUGAAAAUGAAGAAACGCUCCCUUUUCACAUUUAGAAGCACAUCACAAAAGGGGAUUGGGAGGCUUUUGUUGCACAAAAAACAACUCCAAAUGCAGUGGAAAGCGCCAAAAGUGUUCAGAAAGUGCAAAGAAGAAAAAACAUAAUCAUGGCUAGGUCCCAAGACUUAUGAAUAAAAGAGGAAGAAAUGGAUUAAGAAAGGACUAUACCCCACCAAAAAGAAAACAAGUGACAUAAACCGUGCCAAUGAUUGGUGGUGUUCGAUGCAUAGUCUCAACGAAAAAGGGAACUAUACCAUUGUUAAUCCUGAAACAAAAGAGGCUUGUGAUAAACUAGUUUUCAAUACUCCAAGGGAGAGGCAAUUUACCAAAAAGGAGAUGCAUGAACUUCGAGACAAGAGGGCUACUUACUUCACCGAUUGUGAAAUACCCUCGUUGUAAAUAAAAUAAGCUAGUAGUUAUCCGUGACUCUAAAAUUACUUUGUUAUUUAUUGAUUUAAUUACAUUUGAAUUUGAAGGAAAUAAUGCCCUUGGUCCAA